AUUGAACGCUGGCGGCAGGCCUAACACAUGCAAGUCGAGCGCGAAAGUUCUUCGGAAUGAGUAAAGCGGCGGACGGGUGAGUAAUACAUGGGAAUCUGCCUGGUAGUGGGGGACAACGUUUCGAAAGGAACGCUAAUACCGCAUACGCCCUACGGGGAGAGGGGGGGAUCUUCGGACCUCUCGCUAUCAGAUGAGCCCAU
RNAcentral lists this ribosomal RNA (200 nucleotides) under uncultured bacterium. RNAcentral describes it as "partial 16S ribosomal RNA". It matches the Rfam family "Bacterial small subunit ribosomal RNA", at positions 30 to 234 of the family's 1533-position model. The record is from RNAcentral.